AGAGAAAGAGAGAAGGAGGUAUCGGAAAAGGUCGACUUUGUAGGGCUAGCUAAGAGACGUCAUGUUACACCGAGCAAUAUAAUCGAUCGUGAAGUUAAAGAACCAUGUUUUUCUCCUUGAAGUCAUCGUAGGAAAAUGCAUUUAGGACAGUAGUGCUCCCAGAUGCAAAAUUACUUGCUUCAAAGUGCUCCAUGCGGGAAAUUUUCCUGCUACAAAAAUUGCUCCGAAAUCAGAAGACCUUGGUAGCAUCAGUGAAACUGGCAUGGGCAAGUGGCUGUGAUAAUUAGCUGUGCUGCAGCUUGAAGCUUUCAAAAGGAACUGCAUUAAAGACUUUUGUUCAGCAUUAUUUUGUUCCCAUAACUUCAGUUACAUUGCCUCAACAUUCGAAGACUGACUGAAUUUAUGUUUAAUAAAUGUGUUUGAAAACAAUAUUCUA
This is a long non-coding RNA of Rhipicephalus microplus (southern cattle tick), 436 nucleotides long. RefSeq lists it as uncharacterized. NCBI's taxonomy places the organism in Eukaryota, Metazoa, Arthropoda, Arachnida, Ixodida, Ixodidae. The record is from RefSeq and is a predicted model, not a curated record.